This 577-nucleotide ribosomal RNA is filed under the name uncultured bacterium. RNAcentral's name for it is "bacterial SSU rRNA". It matches the Rfam family "Bacterial small subunit ribosomal RNA", at positions 623 to 1212 of the family's 1533-position model. The record is from RNAcentral.
CCGUUCAAUACUGCGGAGCUCGAGGGCAGAAGAGGGGGGUGGAAUUGCUGGUGUAGUGGUGAAAUGCGUAGAUAUCAGCAGGAACACCUGUGGCGAAAGCGGCCCCCUGGUCUGCUCCUGACACUCAGACGCGAAAGCUAGGGGAGUGAACGGGAUUAGAAACCCCGGUAAUCCUAGCCGUAAACGAUGGAUGCUAGGUGUGGGUGGUAUUGACCCCAUCCGUGCCGAAGCCAACGCGUUAAGCAUCCCGCCUGGGGACUACGGCCGCAAGGUUAAAACUCAAAGGAAUUGACGGGGACCCGCACAGGCAGCGGAGCGUGUGGUUUAAUUCGAUGCUACACGAAGAACCUUACCCAGGUUUGACAUGCAGGUAGUAGUGAAGCGAAAGCGGAACGAUCCUUCGGGAAGCCUGCACAGGUGCUGCAUGGCUGUCGUCAGCUCGUGCCGUGAGGUGUUUGGUUAAGUCCACUAACGAGCGCAACCCCUGUCGUCAGUUACAUGUGUCUGGCGAGACUGCCGGUCUUAAACCGGAGGAAGGUGGGGAUGACGUCAAGUCAGCAUGGCCUUUAUAUCUGGG